RNAcentral lists this ribosomal RNA (393 nucleotides) under uncultured bacterium. Its description in RNAcentral is "partial 16S ribosomal RNA". It matches the Rfam family "Bacterial small subunit ribosomal RNA", at positions 523 to 918 of the family's 1533-position model. The record is from RNAcentral.
AUACGGAGGAUCCGAGCGUUAUCCGGAUUUAUUGGGUUUAAAGGGAGCGUAGGCGGACGCUUAAGUCAGUUGUGAAAGUUUGCGGCUCAACCGUAAAAUUGCAGUUGAUACUGGGUGUCUUGAGUACAGUAGAGGCAGGCGGAACUCGUGGUGUAGCGGUGAAAUGCUUAGAUAUCACGAAGAACUCCGACUGCGAAGGCAGCCUGCUGGACUGUAACUGACGCUGAUGCUCGAAAGUGUGGGUAUCAAACAGGAUUAGAUACCCUGGUAGUCCAAACAGUAAACGGUGAAUACUCGCUGUUUGCGAUACCCUGUAAGCGGCCAAGCGAAAGCGUUAAGUAUUCCACCUGGGGAGUACGCCGGCAACGGGGAAACUCAAAUGAAUUGACGGGG